AUUAUUUAUUCAAUGUCAAUUUGAAAUUAGAUCUUCGUCAUCCGUAUUUGAGCAUUUGCACAUUGCUGUUGCGAGUUACAGUAAAAAAAAUUUGGUAAUCCGUCCGAUGAUAGUUCGACAUUCGAAUUUGCUCAUUCGUUUACUGCAUUUCAACAUUUGUUCGUUGUUUUACCAUUACAUGUAUGACGACAGAGGACGCGCGCUACAUCGAAUCUUUUGGGAAACAGACUAUAGAAUCAUAUUGGAGGACCAGUUUAUGUGACAUUCCCUCGGAUCUAUUAUUUUCCCGGCCUUUCGAAGUCCGAGAUGAUGUCACUAUACAUUUCAUUUUAAAAAGAAAUUGCAGAUCUGCUCAUUCGAUUGGAUGGAUUCUAUUUCUGUAUGCUCUGAAAUGAGAUUAUCACCUAUCGAUGUGGAACAUCUUUAUCAAAGCAACAUACAUCCCCCAGGAAAUAAGCUUUAAUGAUUUCGCGUUUUAAUGUUAUUGAUUUGAAUAUUAUAAUUAUCCUUACAGUUAAUUUGUGAGUGUACUUUUGUAUUUUUCAUUAAAGAAAAUCCCAUUGA
Ostrea edulis (European flat oyster) is the source of this 564-nucleotide long non-coding RNA. RefSeq lists it as uncharacterized. The record is from RefSeq and is a predicted model, not a curated record. NCBI's taxonomy places the organism in Eukaryota, Metazoa, Mollusca, Bivalvia, Ostreida, Ostreidae. The transcript is spliced from 2 exons.